AGCAGCCGCGCGGUAAUACGUAGGGUGCGAGCGUUAAUCGGAAUUACUGGGCGUAAAGCGUACGCAGGCGGCUUUGCAAGACAGAUGUGAAAUCCCCGGGCUCAACCUGGGAACUGCAUUUGUGACUGCAAGGCUAGAGUGCGGCAGAGGGAGAUGGAAUUCCGCGUGUAGCAGUGAAAUGCGUAGAUAUGCGGAGGAACACCGAUGGCGAAGGCAAUCUCCUGGGCCUGCACUGACGCUCAUGCACGAAAGCGUGGGGAGCAAACAGGAUUAGAUACCCGGGUAGUCCCUGUCUCUUAUACA
This 303-nucleotide ribosomal RNA is filed under the name uncultured bacterium. Its description in RNAcentral is "partial 16S ribosomal RNA". It matches the Rfam family "Bacterial small subunit ribosomal RNA", at positions 510 to 808 of the family's 1533-position model. The record is from RNAcentral.